AGUGAACGCUGGCGGUAGGCCUAACACAUGCAAGUCGAACGGCAGCACAGUAAGAGCUUGCUCUUACGGGUGGCGAGUGGCGGACGGGUGAGGAAUACAUCGGAAUCUACUUUUUCGUGGGGGAUAACGGAGGGAAACUUACGCUAAUACCGCAUACGAUCUACGGGUGAAUGCAGGAGUUCUUCGCACCUUGCGCGUUUGAAUGAGCCGAUGUCGGAUUAGCUAGUUGGCGGGGUAAAGGCCCACCAAGGCGACGAUCCGUAGCUGGCCUGAGAGGACGAUCAGCCACACUGGAACUGAGACACGGUCCAGACUCCUACGGGAGGCAGCAGUGGGGAAUAUUGCGCAAUGGGCGCAAGCCUGAUCCAGCCACACCGCGUGGGUGAAGAAGGUCUUCGGGUUGUAAAGCCCUUUUGUUGGGGAAGAAAAGCUGCGGAUGAAUACCCCGCUGUUCUGACGGUACCCAAAGAAUAAGCACCGGCUAACUUCGUG
RNAcentral lists this ribosomal RNA (492 nucleotides) under uncultured bacterium. RNAcentral describes it as "partial 16S ribosomal RNA". It matches the Rfam family "Bacterial small subunit ribosomal RNA", at positions 29 to 507 of the family's 1533-position model. The record is from RNAcentral.